Molecule: transfer RNA, 82 nt
Filed under: Paramuricea clavata
Lineage: Eukaryota; Metazoa; Cnidaria; Anthozoa; Malacalcyonacea; Plexauridae
Rfam family: tRNA
About the family: Transfer RNA (tRNA) molecules are approximately 80 nucleotides in length. Their secondary structure includes four short double-helical elements and three loops (D, anti-codon, and T loops). Further hydrogen bonds mediate the characteristic L-shaped molecular structure. tRNAs have two regions of fundamental functional importance: the anti-codon, which is responsible for specific mRNA codon recognition, and the 3' end, to which the tRNAs corresponding amino acid is attached (by aminoacyl-tRNA synthetases). tRNAs cope with the degeneracy of the genetic code in two manners: having more than one tRNA (with a specific anti-codon) for a particular amino acid; and 'wobble' base-pairing, i.e. permitting non-standard base-pairing at the 3rd anti-codon position.
Source: Rfam by way of RNAcentral
GCUAGCGUGGCCGAGUGGUCUAAGGCGCUGGUUUUAGGCACCAGUCAUUUCGAUGACGUGCGUUCGAAUCCCACCGCUGCCA